AUUGAACGCUGGCGGCAGGCUUAACACAUGCAAGUCGAGCGGGGUGAUGGUGCUUGCACUAUCACUUAGCGGCGGACGGGUGAGUAAUGCUUAGGAAUCUGCCUAUUAGUGGGGGACAACAUCUCGAAAGGGAUGCUAAUACCGCAUACGUCCUACGGGAGAAAGCAGGGGAUCACUUGUGACCUUGCGCUAAUAGAUGAGCCUAAGUCGGAUUAGCUAGUUGGUGGGGUAAAGGCCUACCAAGGCGACGAUCUGUAGCGGGUCUGAGAGGAUGAGCCGCCACACUGGGACUGAGACACGGCCCAGACUCCUACGGGAGGGAGCAGUGGGGAAUAUUGGAAAAUGGGGGGAACCCUGAUCCAGCCAUGCCGCGUGUGUGAAGAAGGCCUUAUGGUUGUAAAGCACUUUAAGCGAGGAGGAGGCUCUUUUGGUUAAUACCCAAGAUGAGUGGACGUUACUCGCAGAAUAAGCACCGGCUAACUCUGUGCCAGCCGCCGCCGUAA
RNAcentral lists this ribosomal RNA (503 nucleotides) under uncultured bacterium. RNAcentral's name for it is "partial 16S ribosomal RNA". It matches the Rfam family "Bacterial small subunit ribosomal RNA", at positions 30 to 523 of the family's 1533-position model. The record is from RNAcentral.